UAGGGAAUCUUCCACAAUGGACGAAAGUCUGAUGGAGCAACGCCGCGUGAGUGAAGAAGGUUUUCGGAUCGUAAAGCUCUGUUGUUGGUNAAGAAGGAUAGAGGCAGUAACUGGUCUUUAUUUGACGGUAAUCAACCAGAAAGUCACGGCUAACUACGUGCCAG
This 164-nucleotide ribosomal RNA is filed under the name uncultured bacterium. RNAcentral's name for it is "partial 16S rRNA". It matches the Rfam family "Bacterial small subunit ribosomal RNA", at positions 355 to 511 of the family's 1533-position model. The record is from RNAcentral.